Molecule: long non-coding RNA, 204 nt
Filed under: Medicago truncatula (barrel medic)
Lineage: Eukaryota; Viridiplantae; Streptophyta; Magnoliopsida; Fabales; Fabaceae
Description: long non-coding RNA (MTRU_LNC004632)
Source: RNAcentral
UAGUAGAGUCGUGUUGAGCCACGUAGUGUAGUGUGUCAACUUUAAACUGUCUUUUGUCGUACUGAUUGUUGUUUGUGGUGCAGGGAUAUGUUUUCGAGGUAUAUUUUCGAGGACGAAAAUUCUUUAAGUUGGGGAGAGUUGUAACGCCCCAAUUUUAUUUAAUUAUUUUUAGUUGAUUUAAAGUCCUUUAUAUGAUUUUUAAAU